This 284-nucleotide ribosomal RNA is filed under the name Roseburia faecis M72/1. RNAcentral's name for it is "partial 16S ribosomal RNA". The stretch from base 57 to 284 matches the Rfam family "Bacterial small subunit ribosomal RNA", at positions 549 to 776 of the family's 1533-position model. The record is from RNAcentral. Lineage: Bacteria; Bacillati; Bacillota; Clostridia; Lachnospirales; Lachnospiraceae.
UCUUUUCCUUUUUUUCCCUCCUCCUCUUUCAUACUUAUUUUUCAAUCUUUAUCCUUAUUUACUGGGUGUAAAGGGAGCGCAGGCGGUGCGGCAAGUCUGAUGUGAAAGCCCGGGGCUCAACCCCGGUACUGCAUUGGAAACUGUCGUACUAGAGUGUCGGAGGGGUAAGUGGAAUUCCUAGUGUAGCGGUGAAAUGCGUAGAUAUUAGGAGGAACACCAGUGGCGAAGGCGGCUUACUGGACGAUAACUGACGCUGAGGCUCGAAAGCGUGGGGAGCAAACAGG